This 425-nucleotide ribosomal RNA is filed under the name uncultured bacterium. RNAcentral describes it as "bacterial SSU rRNA". It matches the Rfam family "Bacterial small subunit ribosomal RNA", at positions 356 to 772 of the family's 1533-position model. The record is from RNAcentral.
GGGGAAUAUUGGACAAUGGGGGCAACCCUGAUCCAGCAAUGCCGCGUGAGUGAAGAAGGCCUUCGGGUUGUAAAGCUCUUUUGUUCGGGAAGAAACGCGCUGGGUGAAUACCCUGGCGUAAUGACGGUACCGAAAGAAUAAGCACCGGCUAACUCCGUGCCAGCAGCCGCGGUAAUACGGGGGGAGCAAGCGUUGUUCGGAUUUACUGGGCGUAAAGGGCGGGUAGGCGGCCACUGCAAGUCGGUUGUGAAAUCUCCGGGCUUAACCCGGAAAGGUCAAUCGAUACUGCAGGGCUAGAGUGCAGAAGGGGCAACUGGAAUUCUCGGUGUAGCGGUGAAAUGCGUAGAUAUCGAGAGGAACACCUGCGGCGAAGGCGGGUUGCUGGGCUGACACUGACGCUGAACUGCGAAAGCUAGGGGAGCGAA